Non-coding RNA from Nitrosococcus halophilus, 170 nucleotides. The record is from Rfam. Lineage: Bacteria; Pseudomonadati; Pseudomonadota; Gammaproteobacteria; Chromatiales; Chromatiaceae.
GUCAUUGUGAGGUGGGGUCUGAAGGAAGCGUGGAGCAAAGAUACGAGCCGACGGACAGGAACUGGAUAAGUAGGCGCCAAGGCCGGACGAGUUGGCGUGAGACGACGAAGUCCCUAUUCACCAAGGGCCGGAAGCGUAAAUCCAGCGGUUGUGUAUCGAAAGUCAGUAUA